AUACCAAAAAUGUAGUAGUUGCAAAAACUAUAAGUUUUUUUGGAAACUCGAUAAUAUGUAUAUAUAUUUCUCUUCCUCUCGUCGAUCCGUUCCCGAUCUCGUGCUCUUUUUCAUGAGAUCAUCGAACUGCUUCUUCUCGCGAACGGCAUGCUGCUCGCGUCAUCGACAUAAUCCUUGUCUAUCCCCGUCUACCCCUUCGCCUUCCACCCGUCAUCUCGGAUCCGCGAGCCAGCUCUAACCAUUUUCGUCUAAUUUUAUCUAACCCUUUCUACCAUCCGUCUGACUCAGCCUCCGUCGUACACUGUAUCGCGCAACUCGUCGCGUGACCAUCUUUUUUCGCUCGGCCAUGACGCGGCAUGCGACAAAUUUUACAACCGUCUUCCACAUCCUCUCUCUUCUAUAAAUACAUCCCUAGCCGUCAGAAAGCUCCUCGUCUCACCCCAGAUCCAUGAAGGGCAGCGGUUACCAGAUUGCGAUCCGUUUCUGAGCUUUGAGGGAUCAAAGAUCAAGAGUUGGCGACCAAGUGAUCUGGUUCUUCGAGUUCUACGAGAUUCAAGACCCUGAGCAUCUGUUUGGUGAAGACAAGUGUCCUCUGACCCAUUAUGUCUCAUUUACUUUAUAAUACACUGUCCCGCAUACUAUGAACAACCUAAGGAUUUACUAGCUUUCUAUUUACCUUGUCCUUGAUUUACCUUUUGGGUUAGUAUGGUUAGCUACAUGCUAGCGCUUUACUUUAAUCAAUGAACAUGAUGAGAUACAAUGAUGAUACUAUGAUUUUAUUCUGGAUAUGAUGAUAUACUUGUGGCAUUUAAGGGGACUAAGGCUGUUUCCCGAGUACCUCUCCGUAAGGACCUGUUCGUUGAGAGACCACCUGGGAUAACAGUGCAAUCAUGAGGGUGAAAUGGGAUGCCCUUAGCUAAUUAAUUAGAGGAACUAGAGGUGUAGUUGCUUCGCCGUCGUGCCGUCAAUGGGGUCCAGGCACAGUGCUUGCUCUACCGAGGCUGAGUGCCGAGGUUCUUUCGUUUUGCUUUUGUUAGUCACCCUCCUGCGGGGAGAGGUACUGUGUUUAUCAAACUGGAGAAACCUAACGGGCGGCUAUGACCUCUAGUGAAUCUUUGUAAAAGCUACGUAGUGAUACCCUGCCGGACCACCUAGGAAGUGAUCAAUGGGGAGUCAUGAUCCCCGGGCAAAACGGGAAUCACGGCUCAUGGGUAAAGUGUGCGACCUCUGCAGAGGAUUAGAAACUGAUAUAUCAGUCGUGCUCACGGUUAUGAGCGGCCUUGGGAUCCUCUUUGAUUAGAGAUACAUAUGAUCGAGAUACAAUGGUUCUAUUUAUGGUUUUGGUCCGAUGAUGAUAAUGAUGCUUCCUCGAUGAGGAAAUGGUUCACGGGUUGGUUAUGUGAUAAAACUUGGCUUCCACUAAUAAUAAACACCUGGCCAACUAAAAGCAACUGCUUGAGCUUAACUCCACAUAAAGCUAGUCCACCUCAGCCAAACAGGACAUUUGCUGAGUACGUUGAUGUGUACUCACCCUUGCUUUCACAAAACACCAGGAUGCCUUUGGUGCAAUCUAUGCACAGGUAAAGAAGAAGGCGUCGAGGCGGUUCUCCAGGAGUUCCAGGACUUCGACGAGUUCGAGGAUUAGGCUAGCGACCUCCCCCAGUCAGCUGCCUGUGGUGGGUUUAUUUACAUUGGCUACGUUUCGAUUCUGUGUACUUUGAUUCAUAUUAUGUAAAUGACUCUAGUCUUUAAUAUCAUUAUUUAUUCUUUAUUGUUAUUCGAAGCAUUGUGCUAUGAUGAGUCAUUUAUGUAAUCGCUGUGUACGUGAAUUUCUGAUCCUGGCACGUACAUGGUUCGCAUUCGGUUUACCUUCCAAAACCGGGUGUGACAUAAGUGGUAUCAAAGCCAGGCUGACUAUAGGACCGCUGACCUAGAGUAACAUUGACCGUUUUAAGGACUUAUUGACUUUUACUUCACCCCAUCCUUGAUGCUGCUUCAAAAUAUUAGUCACCUCGACUAAUUCUAUGUUAUGCUUCUAUAUAUCACCUUGCCAAAUGUAUUUUGUUCUAAUAUUGUCUAUGCUUCACCUAUUCAUUCUAUUAGAUCUGAUCUCACUCUUGUGCUUGCGACAUCUUUGUAGAUGCCCCCUGAUCAUAACCUUCUUGUCUUUUGGGAUUCUUUUUGUCUUCCAUUAUUAAAUUGCUACCAUUUGACCAUAUCUAUUCCAUUGGUAUUGACUUGCUGCAUCUUUUGGAUUCUUCCAUACCCUUAUCCCUUAAUUCAAAUACUUAACCCUGAAAACUCUGUUGCCCAUAUAAACAUUCUAGUUUAUAUUUUCAUGCCCUUCCUGUCUUUUGAGAUCCCUUUCUAUUCUGUUGUUAAGUCAUUAUCUUUCGAUAAUUUCUAUGCCCUUGGUCUUAGUAUGCUCGUAUCCUUGGAGUCUUACAUACUCUUAUAUUCUUAUGUAUGCUUAUUUUCAUACCCCAAUAACUGUUCAAGACAUUUCAGUUAACAUGUCCUUGACCACCCCUGUUUCUUAACGGUCCAUGAGCGAUCAUUUUAUGUUGCCCAUCCUUGGUGAUCUCAUUGUUCCUUUAUAACUUCUCUCGAUAAUGAAUUCUUACUUCAACCAUUCUAUUGCACCCUCACCUAUCUUACCUUGAUUAUUUUGUCCACUUCGCCAUUUCGCGAGUCUUGCCUUAACUCUAUCCUUUGUUAUGCCUUUCAUUAUUAUCACAUUCAUCUUUGACACCUCUAUACCUUACCUUGAUGCCUAUCUUAUACCUGCGCUCCAAAACCUUCUCUCUUUCGUCACAAUUUUAAACAUUGAAGGUUACCUAUUUUCCCUCAGUUUGUAUCCUAUUCCUUGUCGCUUGCGAGUUUUUAACUCCAUCCUUUGUUAUCUGUUACUACCUUUACCUUCGCCGUCUCUCCAUCUUACCUUGAUGACUAUCUUAUGUCUGUUAUUUAAAGUUCCCUCUCUCAUCUCAAUUCGAGGGAAGUGUUUUACUUAUCCUGCCCUUGGUCGGAACCUCGUCUUCGCUAGGUGUGAGUCUUAUCUUAACUCCAUUCUUUGUUGUACUCAUACCACUGGCUCUUUUAUGCCUUCAUCUUUUCUCAUAUACCCUUGUCUGUUAUCGCCUUUGACCCUUGCGAUAUCUAUGUCUUCUACCUAAAUGCUUACCUCGAGCUUAUCUUUUAAAAGCCUCCCCUUUCCUUCAGCCCAGUUUGAGAGUUGUGGGUUACCUAUCUCUCCCUUGAUUUCUUUUCACUUCUUGUCGCCUUACGAGUUUUGCCUUAAUUCCAUCCUUUGCUAUGUGUUUUAUUUGCUAUCACCAUCUCCUUGUCAUCCAUCGAUCUUGCCUUGAUACUCAUCUUUAUGCUGGCUCUUUAAAAUCUCCUCUCUUCCACCUCAAUUGGAGAGUGGCAAUUUACCUAUCUGGCCCCUGGACGUACCCUCUCCUUUUCCAUUCGCAUGUCUUGUCUUAACUCCAUCCUUUGUGGUAUUUAUAUUCUUGGUUCUUAUGCACAUUUACCUCCUCUCCUACAUCCUUGCCCGUUAUCACCUUUAAACCCUCGUGGUACCUAUGCCCUUGCCCACAUGCUUAUCUUGAACCUACCCUUUAAAGCCACCUCUUUUUCAUCGCUGUCGGAGGAUAAUACCUCACCCACUUCACCAUUGAUUGCUUUCCCUUCUUUGAUGCCUCACAGGUUUUUUUUCUAUAUACAUCAUUUGUUGUGUGUUUGUCCGUUAUCACCUUAACCCAUGUCAUCCUUCGAUCAUUACUUUGAUGCUUGUCAUGUACCUGCAUUUUAAAGCCGCCUCCCCCAUUUCAUUUCAAGAGUGUUGUCAUACCCCUCCCCGCUCUUGUUCGUUCCCUAUUCCUAUGUCGCGUUGCAAGUCUUAGCUUUUGUUUGAUGUCGCCCUUACCUUCCUAAUAUCUAGAUCUUUCCAUGAUGCUUCUCCUAUGCCUACCUUUUGAAACAUCACCUUUCCCAUCUCGAUUUGAGAAUGGUGUUUACCUACCCUGCCCUUGGUUGCAUUUUCUCCCUUGUAACUAUGAUCCUUGCUUUAGCUCCAUCCUUUAUUAUGCUCAUGCCCCUCCAUGUCUUAUUAUUCCCCUUGCCUUUUAUUGGCCUUAGAGUAGUUUCCCUUUUUAAGGAAAGACCACCAUUUAAUUAAAAGUUACGUAUAGCAAUGAGAUGUUUGUUGUUGUAUGCUUGUGCUGUUUGUCUUUGUGUUAUGACUGAUUUGCUUCUUUGUGAUGAGUGUUGGUGUGUUGUGGCCCUGGGUCCGCAAUGACAUCAGUUUACCAGGUAAGUGCCAUAUAGUUAAUUAGUUGGGUUCUCCCCCUACUCUCUCUAAUCCGUCUAUACUUACCUUUUCUCGCUACCCUUUCCUCUUGCACCUGUCCGGUCGGCAUCCUCCAACUCCUUCAAAUCAGUCAAGAUCAGAGUCGGUAGCAUCUUCAUCAAGUGUGUAUCAACGCUCCUGUUAAGGGGGUUAGCCGCUAACCCCAAUGAAGACAAUGUGAUCCACGUCAACCAACAAGAUCAGAGUGGCGCAACGAAAGCGUGUGUGGGUCCAACCCACAGGUCAAAGAGAUCUUCAUGAAUUGCAUCAAUCGGUCUCAAGCACCUGAAGGUCAAAGCAACCAGUCCGCAAGUUAAAGCUGACAGAGUCAAAGCUGGGUUAGAAGAAGCUAUGAAACACUAAUAAACCAAUCUCAUUUUCUUGCUAGCCUCUUCUUGAAUCUCGAGGACGAGAUUCUGUUAAGGGGGUUUGAUCUGUAACACCCUGAUUUUAGGGGUAUAAAAUUUCUUUUUAAAUAUCCACCAAAUUCAGGUGUUACUCUCUCAGCUCUUCGCUCUUCUUCUCUUUUUCCUAAAAGUGGAGAAUUAUUUUGUUUUAUAUAGGCAUUAACUUAGUGAAAUAAAAGCCUAGCUAGAGAAGCUUUGAUUGUUGUAUUCAUGUCGUUGCAUAUUGUUUAUGGGUGUAAAAGGUUUUUGAAACAUAAAAAGAUUAUCUCGACAGUGUUUUUAGGGAUUGCUGGGACUUUCGAAAUGUUUCUCCGAGUAUUAAAAUAUGAAUUUUUAGUCUUUCUAAUAUUAAUUAAAUACCAAAAAUGUAGUAGUUGCAAAAACUAUAAGUUUUUUUGGAAACUCGAUAAUAUGUAUAUAUAUUUCUCUUCCUCUCGUCGAUCCGUUCCCGAUCUCGUGCUCUUUUUCAUGAGAUCAUCGAACUGCUUCUUCUCGCGAACGGCAUGCUGCUCGCGUCAUCGACAUAAUCCUUGUCUAUCCCCGUCUACCCCUUCGCCUUCCACCCGUCAUCUCGGAUCCGCGAGCCAGCUCUAACCAUUUUCGUCUAAUUUUAUCUAACCCUUUCUACCAUCCGUCUGACUCAGCCUCCGUCGUACACUGUAUCGCGCAACUCGUCGCGUGACCAUCUUUUUUCGCUCGGCCAUGACGCGGCAUGCGACAAAUUUUACAACCGUCUUCCACAUCCUCUCUCUUCUAUAAAUACAUCCCUAGCCGUCAGAAAGCUCCUCGUCUCACCCCAGAUCCAUGAAGGGCAGCGGUUACCAGAUUGCGAUCCGUUUCCGAGCUUUGAGGGAUCAAAGAUCAAGAGUUGGCGACCAAGUGAUCCGGUUCUUCGAGUUCUACGAGAUUGAAGACCCAAAGCAUCUGUUUGGUGAAGGCAAGUGUCCUCUGACCCAUUAUGUCUCAUUUACUUUAUAAUACACUGUCCCGCAUACUAUGAACAA
Zea mays is the source of this 5765-nucleotide long non-coding RNA. RefSeq lists it as uncharacterized. The transcript is spliced from 3 exons. Lineage: Eukaryota; Viridiplantae; Streptophyta; Magnoliopsida; Poales; Poaceae. The record is from RefSeq and is a predicted model, not a curated record.